UACUCAGUAUUGUGUGGUAGGAGAACAUUCUUUCCACUUGUAAAUGAAUAGGAGACCUGACACAAUCAUUAUCCGAAUUUCAGCCUUGAAAGUAUGCUGGUUUCAUGUUUUCCAUUUCCUCUGACCUUUUCCCUUCCAUCAGAGCUAUAAUUGGCAGUGGAGAACACCAGUGAGCGGUGUGUUCAGGCACGUGCCAGUUAUCUCACGGAAGAUAGGACCAAGGUCAUAACACAUCCACUCUUCUCCUUUGGUGACCUGAAGAAGGUUUGUUUCUUGACCUUGAUCUCAUCCAGGAUAGUACGUUAUAUUUAGUCAUCAUGUCUCCUUAGGCACUUCCUGUCUUUGAUGUUUUGUUGGAGUUCCCUGUUUUGAUGACCUUGACAGUUUUGAAAAGCACUCGUCAGAUAGAAGAAUGUGAUGGAGCUUCAUACCUGUUACCCAAGGUUGAGUUCGGCUGUCUCCUAGCCCUAAGAUGUACCCAUCCAAUCUUGGGAGAGAAGCAAGAGGCGAUGGCUUUGCUGAAACAGACUUAGCUUUUUCUACUUACGGCAAAGAAGAUUCAGCCUGGGUAUACCUGGGAAUGUGCCAUAUACGAGUAAUGUAUUAACUUAACUAUGUCUAUCGGAAAUGUGGCCCCAUAUCAGGGCCACCACACCCAUUGUAGUCCACGGGUAAUGAUAUCUCUUGGGGGUUGUGCACUGCACAGCCUGCAAGGCUAUAUGCAGAGUCUUAAACCAUGUGUUGUUUACCUAAGAAUAACCAGGGGGCCUGUUCUAGAACUCAAAUUUAAGCAAAGAGACUGAUUUUACUAUAGUUCAAUAUACAAUAAGUUAGUUCACCAACUAUAUUACAAAACUGCCCAAGAUAUCUUUAUUGUACUUUUAUUUGGGCACUUUAAUUCACAAAUAAUUCU
Molecule: long non-coding RNA, 913 nt
Organism: Choloepus didactylus (southern two-toed sloth)
Lineage: Eukaryota; Metazoa; Chordata; Mammalia; Pilosa; Megalonychidae
Exons: 4
Source: RefSeq, a predicted model, not a curated record